CCAUUUUAUGGUUGACUAGAAAGUUGGAUGUAAAUGCUAGAUGGGUUUAUAUUUCCCUAAGAUCGACAAGUAUUUUCCUUGUUUUUUCAUUAUUCGCUCUUUUGGUGAUGAGUUUCGAUCGAUACUUGGCGACAUCUUAUCCUAUCUUUCAUCGAACGUCGGUAACGAAGGGAAGACUUGUAACUCUUCUGGCAAUACUGCUCAUCGUCGAAGUAACUUCGGGAGUAAUAUCUGUGAAUGACUUUGUUAUUUCCUACCAAGUCCAUGC
Non-coding RNA from Paramuricea clavata, 268 nucleotides. The record is from the annotation of a GenBank genome assembly. Lineage: Eukaryota; Metazoa; Cnidaria; Anthozoa; Malacalcyonacea; Plexauridae.